UACGGAGGAUCCGAGCGUUAUCCGGAUUUAUUGGGUUUAAAGGGAGCGUAGGUGGAUUGUUAAGUCAGUUGUGAAAGUUUGCGGCUCAACCGUAAAAUUGCAGUUGAAACUGGCAGUCUUGAGUACAGUAGAGGUGGGCGGAAUUCGUGGUGUAGCGGUGAAAUGCUUAGAUAUCACGAAGAACUCCGAUUGCGAAGGCAGCUCACUGGACUGCAACUGACACUGAUGCUCGAAAGUGUG
Molecule: ribosomal RNA, 240 nt
Filed under: uncultured bacterium
Lineage: Bacteria
Description: partial 16S ribosomal RNA
Rfam family: Bacterial small subunit ribosomal RNA
Source: RNAcentral